Molecule: ribosomal RNA, 888 nt
Filed under: uncultured bacterium
Lineage: Bacteria
Description: bacterial SSU rRNA
Rfam family: Bacterial small subunit ribosomal RNA
Source: RNAcentral
GAUGAACGCUAGCGGGAGGCUUAACACAUGCAAGUCGAGGGGCAGCAUUCACUUCGGUGAGAUGGCGACCGGCGCACGGGUGCGUAACGCGUAUGCAACCUACCUUAUACAGAGAGAUAGCCCAUGGAAACGUGGAUUAAUAUCUCAUAGUACUAUAAAUCUGCAUAGUUUAAUAGUUAAAACUACGGUGGUAUAAGAUGGGCAUGCGUCUGAUUAGCUAGAUGGUGAGGUAAUGGCUCACCAUGGCAACGAUCAGUAGGGGUUCUGAGAGGAUUAUCCCCCACACUGGUACUGAGACACGGACCAGACUCCUACGGGAGGCAGCAGUGAGGAAUAUUGGUCAAUGGACGAGAGUCUGAACCAGCCAUCCCGCGUGCAGGAUGACGGCCCUAUGGGUUGUAAACUGCUUUUCUAUGCCAAGAAACCUGUUUACGUGUAGACAGUUGACGGUAGCAUAAGAAUAAGGACCGGCUAACUCCGUGCCAGCAGCCGCGGUAAUACGGAGGGUCCAAGCGUUAUCCGGAUUCAUUGGGUUUAAAGGGUGCGCAGGUGGGGAUGUAAGUCAGUGGUGAAAUACUGCCGCUCAACGGUAGAACUGCCAUUGAUACUGCAUCUCUUGAGUAUGGUUGAGGUAGGCGGAAUGUGUUGUGUAGCGGUGAAAUGCAUAGAUAUGACACAGAACGCCAAUUGCGAAGGCAGCUUACUAAACCAUUACUGACGCUGAGGCACGAAAGCGUGGGGAGCGAACAGGAUUAGAUACCCUGGUAGUCCACGCCGUAAACGAUGUUCACUCGCUGUUUGCGAUACACAGCAAGCGGCUUAGCGAAAGCAUUAAGUGAACCACCUGGGGAGUACGAUCGCAAGGUUGAAACUCAAAGGAAUUGACGG